Molecule: ribosomal RNA, 433 nt
Filed under: uncultured bacterium
Lineage: Bacteria
Description: partial 16S ribosomal RNA
Rfam family: Bacterial small subunit ribosomal RNA
Source: RNAcentral
AGCGAACGCUGGCGGCAGGCCUAACACAUGCAAGUCGAACGAACUCUUCGGAGUUAGUGGCGGACGGGUGAGUAACACGUGGGAACGUGCCUUUUGGUUCGGAAUAACUCAGGGAAACUUGUGCUAAUACCGAAUGUGCCCUUCGGGGGAAAGAUUUAUCGCCAUUAGAGCGGCCCGCGUCUGAUUAGCUAGUUGGUGAGGUAACGGCUCACCAAGGCGACGAUCAGGAGCUGGUCUGAGAGGAUGACCAGCCACACUGGGACUGAGACACGGCCCAGACUCCUACGGGAGGGAGCAGUGGGGAAUCUUGCGCAAGGGGCGAAAGCCUGACGCAGCCACGCCGCGUGAAUGAUGAAGGUCUUAGGAUUGUAAAAUUCUUUCAGCGGGGACGAUAAUGACGGUACCCGGAGAAGAAGCCCCGGCUAACUUCGUG